RNAcentral lists this ribosomal RNA (1287 nucleotides) under metagenome. RNAcentral describes it as "bacterial SSU rRNA". It matches the Rfam family "Bacterial small subunit ribosomal RNA", at positions 242 to 1520 of the family's 1533-position model. The record is from RNAcentral.
UAGCUAGUUGGUGAGGUAAAGGCUCACCAAGGCGACGAUCUGUAGCGGGUCUGAGAGGAUGAUCCGCCACACUGGAACUGAGACACGGUCCAGACUCCUACGGGAGGCAGCAGUGGGGAAUUUUGGACAAUGGGGGCAACCCUGAUCCAGCCAUGCCGCGUGAGUGAAGAAGGCCUUCGGGUUGUAAAGCUCUUUCGGCCGGGAAGAAAUCGCAUGGGCCAAUACCCUGUGCGGAUGACGGUACCGGCAUAAGAAGCACCGGCUAACUACGUGCCAGCAGCCGCGGUAAUACGUAGGGUGCGAGCGUUAAUCGGAAUUACUGGGCGUAAAGCGUGCGCAGGCGGUUUUGUAAGACAGGCGUGAAAUCCCCGGGCUCAACCUGGGAACUGCGUUUGUGACUGCAAGGCUAGAGUACGGCAGAGGGGGGUGGAAUUCCACGUGUAGCAGUGAAAUGCGUAGAGAUGUGGAGGAACACCAAUGGCGAAGGCAGCCCCCUGGGUCGAUACUGACGCUCAUGCACGAAAGCGUGGGUAGCAAACAGGAUUAGAUACCCUGGUAGUCCACGCCCUAAACGAUGUCAACUAGGUGUUGGGUGGGUAAAACCAUUUAGUACCGGAGCUAACGCGUGAAGUUGACCGCCUGGGGAGUACGGCCGCAAGGUUAAAACUCAAAGGAAUUGACGGGGACCCGCACAAGCGGUGGAUGAUGUGGAUUAAUUCGAUGCAACGCGAAAAACCUUACCUACCCUUGACAUGUCCAGAAGCCUGAAGAGAUUUGGGUGUGCCCGAAAGGGAACUGGAACACAGGUGCUGCAUGGCUGUCGUCAGCUCGUGUCGUGAGAUGUUGGGUUAAGUCCCGCAACGAGCGCAACCCUUGUCGUUAAUUGCCAUCAUUCAGUUGGGCACUUUAACGAGACUGCCGGUGACAAACCGGAGGAAGGUGGGGAUGACGUCAAGUCCUCAUGGCCCUUAUGGGUAGGGCUUCACACGUCAUACAAUGGUCGGUACAAAGGGUUGCCAAGCCGCGAGGUGGAGCCAAUCCCAGAAAGCCGAUCGUAGUCCGGAUCGUAGGCUGCAACUCGCCUGCGUGAAGUCGGAAUCGCUAGUAAUCGUGGAUCAGCAUGUCACGGUGAAUACGUUCCCGGGUCUUGUACACACCGCCCGUCACACCAUGGGAGCGGGUUCCGCCAGAAGUAGGUAGCCUAACCGCAAGGGGGGCGCUUACCACGGCGGGGUUCGUGACUGGGGUGAAGUCGGAACAAGGUAGCCGUAGGGGAACCUGCGGCUG